AUCUUUUUGUAGUUCAUAAGCAUGAUGAUUAUGUUUUUACAUUCACACGUAAGAUGUGCCUCCCUCAAACCUUGUUAUGAUGUCAGCAUAUUACCUGUCUGAUG
RNAcentral lists this small nucleolar RNA (104 nucleotides) under Pongo abelii (Sumatran orangutan). RNAcentral describes it as "Small nucleolar RNA U13 (ENSPPYG00000037531.1)". It matches the Rfam family "Small nucleolar RNA U13". The record is from Rfam by way of RNAcentral. Lineage: Eukaryota; Metazoa; Chordata; Mammalia; Primates; Hominidae.